Molecule: ribosomal RNA, 530 nt
Filed under: uncultured bacterium
Lineage: Bacteria
Description: bacterial SSU rRNA
Rfam family: Bacterial small subunit ribosomal RNA
Source: RNAcentral
GACGAACGCUGGCGGCGUGCUUAACACAUGCAAGUCGAACGGAGCACCCCUGAAGGAGUUUUCGGACAACGGAUGGGAAUGCUUAGUGGCGGACUGGUGAGUAACGCGUGAGGAACCUGCCUUCCAGAGGGGGACAACAGUUGGAAACGACUGCUAAUACCGCAUGAUGCGUUGGAGCCGCAUGACUCCGACGUCAAAGAUUUAUCGCUGGAAGAUGGCCUCGCGUCUGAUUAGCUAGUUGGUGAGGUAACGGCCCACCAAGGCGACGAUCAGUAGCCGGACUGAGAGGUUGGCCGGCCACAUUGGGACUGAGAUACGGCCCAGACUCCUACGGGAGGCAGCAGUGGGGAAUAUUGGGCAAUGGACGCAAGUCUGACCCAGCAACGCCGCGUGAAGGAAGAAGGCUUUCGGGUUGUAAACUUCUUUUAAGGGGGAAGAGCAGAAGACGGUACCCCUUGAAUAAGCCACGGCUAACUACGUGCCAGCAGCCGCGGUAAUACGUAGGUGGCAAGCGUUGUCCGGAUUUACUG